AUUGAACGCUGGCGGCAGGCCUAACACAUGCAAGUCGAACGAGUGGCGGACGGGUGAGUAAUGUCUGAGAAACUGCCUGAUGGAGGGGGCUAACGACUGGAAACGGUAGCUAAUACCGCUAACCAUCAGAUGUGCCCAGAUGGGAUUAGCUUGUUGGUGGGGUAAAGGCUCACCAAGGCGAAGAUGCCUAGCCGGUCUGAGAGGUUGACCAGCAACACUGGAACGGAGACACGGUCCAGACUCCUACGGGAGGCAGCAGUGGGGAAUAUUGCACAAUGGGCGCAAGCCUGAUGCAGCCAUGCCGCGUGUAUGAAGAAGGCCUUCGGGUUGUAAAGUACUUUCAGCGGGGAGGCGUUACCCGCAGAAGAAGCACCGGCUAACUCCGUGCCAGCAGCCGCGGUAAUUC
This 406-nucleotide ribosomal RNA is filed under the name uncultured bacterium. Its description in RNAcentral is "partial 16S ribosomal RNA". It matches the Rfam family "Bacterial small subunit ribosomal RNA", at positions 30 to 526 of the family's 1533-position model. The record is from RNAcentral.